GGCCAGAUACAGUAGCUCAACUGGUAGAGCACUGCACCAGAAUCGCAGAGGUCAGGGUUCAAUUUUUCUGGUCA
RNAcentral lists this transfer RNA (74 nucleotides) under Acropora cervicornis. Its description in RNAcentral is "tRNA-Ser". The record is from RNAcentral. Lineage: Eukaryota; Metazoa; Cnidaria; Anthozoa; Scleractinia; Acroporidae.